GAAACCGCAGGCAUACACAUGCAAGUCGGACGGUAGCACAGAGAGCUUGCUCUCGGGUGACGAGUGGCGGACGGAGGGGCCUUAUCUGGGGAUCUGCCCGAUAGAGGGGGAUAACCACUGGAAACGGUGGCUAAUACCGCAUAACGUCGCAAGACCAAAGAGGGGGACCUUCGGGCCUCUCACUAUCGGAUGAACCCAGAUGGGAUUAGCUAGUAGGCGGGGUAAUGGCCCACCUAGGCGACGAUCCCUAGCUGGUCUGAGAGGAUGACCAGCCACACUGGAACUGAGACACGGUCCAGACUCCUACGGGAGGCAGCAGUGGGGAAUAUUGCACAAUGGGCGCAAGCCUGAUGCAGCCAUGCCGCGUGUAUGAAGAAGGCCUUCGGGUUGUAAAGUACUUUCAGCGGGGAGGAAGGCGAUGUGGUUAAUAACCGCAUUGAUUGACGUUACCCGCAGAAGAAGCACCGGCUAACUCCGUGCCAGCAGCCGCGGUAAUACGGAGGGUGCAAGCGUUAAUCGGAAUUACUGGGCGUAAAGCGCACGCAGGCGGUCUGUUAAGUCAGAUGUGAAAUCCCCGGGCUUAACCUGGGAACUGCAUUUGAAACUGGCAGGCUUGAGUCUCGUAGAGGGGGGUAGAAUUCCAGGUGUAGCGGUGAAAUGCGUAGAGAUCUGGAGGAAUACCGGUGGCGAAGGCGGCCCCCUGGGACAAAGACUGACGCUCAGGUGCGAAAGCGUGGGGAGCAAACAGGAUUUAGAUACCCUGGUAGUCCACGCCCGUAAACGAUG
Molecule: ribosomal RNA, 786 nt
Filed under: Pantoea ananatis
Lineage: Bacteria; Pseudomonadati; Pseudomonadota; Gammaproteobacteria; Enterobacterales; Erwiniaceae
Description: bacterial SSU rRNA
Rfam family: Bacterial small subunit ribosomal RNA
Source: RNAcentral